RNAcentral lists this small RNA (350 nucleotides) under Arabidopsis thaliana (thale cress). RNAcentral's name for it is "ATSL241960". The record is from RNAcentral. Lineage: Eukaryota; Viridiplantae; Streptophyta; Magnoliopsida; Brassicales; Brassicaceae.
UUAAAUACUGAAAAAAUAUGUGAGUUACUAUUUAAACUUUAAAUAUCAUCAAUAAGAUGAAGUGUAUAAGGACCAGAUAGUUCAGAUUACUCAUGUGUAAUGGAAAACUAAUCGCAUAGUGAAUGAAUUAGCAAACUAUGCGUUUUAGUUACCGUUUAGUCUGCAUUUAUUUGAUGUUUGUCCGAUAGUUGCAAGUCCGACAUUGUAAGAUGAUACACAUGGGAUGUUGUUAUAAAAUCUUCGAGUGUACUUUUAUGUUAUGAAUAAAUCAUAAGGAGCUUUUGUCCCAUAUUCAUUAUCAAAAAAAGAAAGAUGGAGUGUGUAGAAUAACAAGAUAGUUUAUUAUAAUG